UAACGGGGCUAAACCAUGCACCGAAGCUGCGGCAGCGACGUUUAUGCGUUGUUGGGUAGGGGAGCGUUCUGUAAGCCUGCGAAGGUGGCCUGUGAGGGUUGCUGGAGGUAUCAGAAGUGCGAAUGCUGACAUAAGUAACGAUAAAGCGGGUGAAAAGCCCGCUCGCCGGAAGACCAAGGGUUCCUGUCCAACGUUAAUCGGGGCAGGGUGAGUCGACCCCUAAGGCGAGGCCGAAAGGCGUAGUCGAUGGGAAACGGGUUAAUAUUCCCGUACUUGGUGUUACUGCGAAGGGGGGACGGAGAAGGCUAUGUUGGCCGGGCGACGGUUGUCCCGGUUUAAGCGUGUAGGUGUGUGUUCCAGGUAAAUCCGGUUCACUUUAACACUGAGGCGUGAUGACGAGGCACUACGGUGCUGAAGCAACAAAUGCCCUGCUUCCAGGAAAAGCCUCUAAGCAUCAGGUAACACGAAAUCGUACCCCAAACCGACACAGGUGGUCAGGUAGAGAAUACCAAGGCGCUUGAGAGAACUCGGGUGAAGGAACUAGGCAAAAUGGUGCCGUAACUUCGGGAGAAGGCACGCUGACACGUAGGUGAAGUGAUUUACUCAUGGAGCUGAAGUCAGUCGAAGAUACCAGCUGGCUGCAACUGUUUAUUAAAAACACAGCACUGUGCAAACACGAAAGUGGACGUAUACGGUGUGACGCCUGCCCGGUGCCGGAAGGUUAAUUGAUGGGGUCAGCGCAAGCGAAGCUCCUGAUCGAAGCCCCGGUAAACGGCGGCCGUAACUAUAACGGUCCUAAGGUAGCGAAAUUCCUUGUCGGGUAAGUUCCGACCUGCACGAAUGGCGUAAUGAUGGCCAGGCUGUCUCCACCCGAGACUCAGUGAAAUUGAACUCGCUGUGAAGAUGCAGUGUACCCGCGGCAAGACGGAAAGACCCCGUGAACCUUUACUAUAGCUUGACACUGAACAUUGAGCCUUGAUGUGUAGGAUAGGUGGGAGGCUUUGAAGUGUGGACGCCAGUCUGCAUGGAGCCGACCUUGAAAUACCACCCUUUAAUGUUUGAUGUUCUAACGUGGACCCGUUACCCGGGUUGCGGACAGUGUCUGGUGGGUAGUUUGACUGGGGCGGUCUCCUCCUAAAGAGUAACGGAGGAGCACGAAGGUUGGCUAAUCCUGGUCGGACAUCAGGAGGUUAGUGCAAUGGCAUAAGCCAGCUUGACUGCGAGCGUGACGGCGCGAGCAGGUGCGAAAGCAGGUCAUAGUGAUCCGGUGGUUCUGAAUGGAAGGGCCAUCGCUCAACGGAUAAAAGGUACUCCGGGGAUAACAGGCUGAUACCGCCCAAGAGUUCAUAUCGACGGCGGUGUUUGGCACCUCGAUGUCGGCUCAUCACAUCCUGGGGCUGAAGUAGGUCCCAAGGGUAUGGCUGUUCGCCAUUUAAAGUGGUACGCGAGCUGGGUUUAGAACGUCGUGAGACAGUUCGGUCCCUAUCUGCCGUGGGCGCUGGAGAACUGAGGGGGGCUGCUCCUAGUACGAGAGGACCGGAGUGGACGCAUCACUGGUGUUCGGGUUGUCAUGCCAAUGGCACUGCCCGGUAGCUAAAUGCGGAAGAGAUAAGUGCUGAAAGCAUCUAAGCACGAAACUUGCCCCGAGAUGAGUUCUCCCUGAGACUUAGAGUCUCCUGAAGGAACGUUGAAGACGACGACGUUGAUAG
This 1709-nucleotide ribosomal RNA is filed under the name Salmonella enterica subsp. enterica serovar Bovismorbificans. RNAcentral's name for it is "partial 23S ribosomal RNA". It matches the Rfam family "Bacterial large subunit ribosomal RNA", at positions 1173 to 2859 of the family's 2925-position model. The record is from RNAcentral. Lineage: Bacteria; Pseudomonadati; Pseudomonadota; Gammaproteobacteria; Enterobacterales; Enterobacteriaceae.